GCUACGCCCCUCUAUAUAAAACGAUGCAGCGGUGGCCGCCUUGACAGCCCCUGCCCAGAAGUACUUCUGGAUCAGGCGAGGCGGGGCUGGGCUGGACUGGGCUGGACUGGACUGAGCAGCGCAAAGCGGAGGGGAGCUGAGCCACCCCUGCCCCUGGUCGGUCCCGGGCAAUGAUCGAUGGAGGCGAGCAGCCUCCUCUGCCCGGCGCCUGUGUGAGGGGGCGAGCCCAGAGUCCCUGCUGCUCAUUGCACAACCACCGCGGCCAGCUCAGCAGCCGGAGCCGCCGCUGCCACGGCCGCGCGGGACCCCUGGAGCCCUGAAGUUUGGCCCUUCGGUCCCCAAGAGUUACUUUGCGAGGCUCCGUCUGCUCCGGCGCCGGUAACUGACAAGACGCGGGCGCCCCGGGCAGUGAAUGCAGCCCAGCCCCCAGCAGGGCAUUGCCAACGCUCCUACUUGGUCCCCUGCCUCAGAGCCAGGUCCUGAGGCAGAACCUCACCCUAGGUCAACCUCAUUUAUAAGACAGAAGGUGGAUAUGGCUUCCAAUGAUGCAGAUUAUAACCACUGAUCAUAAGAUCUCAGAUGUUAGAGCUUCAAGGACAACUGAGUCCAAUCCCCUGUUUUACAGAUGAGAAAACUUAGCGACAGAGAGGAACAUGGAGUGACUUGUCCAGUGUCACACAGCUAGUAAGUAUUUAAAGCAGAAUUUGAACCCAGGUUUUCCUGACUCAGAACCCAAUGCCCCAUCCAUUUCACCAGGAUUUCCCAACCUGGGAUAUACAUGCUCUAAAGGGAUGUGAGAAGCUUAUUAGGGGAGCUAUAAGGAAUUAAUUAACCUAUUUUAUUUCUUAUGUGCAUAUAUUACAAUACAUUUCCUUUCAUAUUGAAUGCCCUAGAAUUUAUUUUAUUUCAUAUCAAAAUUUAUUUUAUUUCAUAUCAAAUACUGAAAACUAUUCUAUCUCUCA
This 962-nucleotide long non-coding RNA is filed under the name Vombatus ursinus (common wombat). RNAcentral's name for it is "lncRNA (ENSVURG00010010749.1)". Lineage: Eukaryota; Metazoa; Chordata; Mammalia; Diprotodontia; Vombatidae. The record is from RNAcentral.